AGUGAACGCUGGCGGUAGGCCUAACACAUGCAAGUCGAACGGCAGCACAGUAAGAGCUUGCUCUUACGGGUGGCGAGUGGCGGACGGGUGAGGAAUACAUCGGAAUCUACUUUUUCGUGGGGGAUAACGUAGGGAAACUUACGCUAAUACCGCAUACGACCUACGGGUGAAAGCAGGGGAUCUUCGGACCUUGCGCGAUUGAAUGAGCCGAUGUCGGAUUAGCUAGUUGGCGGGGUAAAGGCCCACCAAGGCGACGAUCCGUAGCUGGUCUGAGAGGAUGAUCAGCCACACUGGAACUGAGACACGGUCCAGACUCCUACGGGAGGCAGCAGUGGGGAAUAUUGGACAAUGGGCGCAAGCCUGAUCCAGCCAUACCGCGUGGGUGGAGAAGGCCUUCGGGUUGUAAAGCCCUUUUGUUGGGAAAGAAAAGCAGCAGGUUAAUACCCCGCUGUUCUGACGGUACCCAAAGAAUAAGCGCCGGCUAACUUCGUG
This 492-nucleotide ribosomal RNA is filed under the name uncultured bacterium. Its description in RNAcentral is "partial 16S ribosomal RNA". It matches the Rfam family "Bacterial small subunit ribosomal RNA", at positions 29 to 507 of the family's 1533-position model. The record is from RNAcentral.